CUCCCGCGCGACAGUUACCUAACACCUCGCCGGGUGUUUGUCCCGGCUGGCGUCUUACUCAUUCCUCCUGGUCACCAGCAACGCUGUGCACCUCCCCGGUUCUCCUGAACUCCGUAAACCCGACCCACACAGCACCUCCAUGGAGGAAGAGCCGCUUUAAAGCCCCGGACUCGACACGGAAUCCCAUCUCGAUACCCAGACGGACCCCAGACCAGCCCGAGGCCGGCCCUGGAUUCACCGCCCAGGAGCUCCCUUCCGUGUACCUGUUGAUGUGUGUAAAGAUGUCCUGGAGGGCUCCGAGAGCAUGUCUGUGUUUCGUAAAUUAGGAACUAUUCGGGGCACGCAGAAGAGUGCAGGAAAUGAAGUUAGCAACACCCACGCCCUCCACUAUGGGGAUUAAAUGUAUCGUUGUGCUUCAUUUACCUGUUAAAAACUGCCUUCGUGGGACUUCCCUGGUAGUCCAGUGGGUAAGACUCCACACUCCCAAUGCAGGGGGCCCAGGUUCCAUCCCUGGUCGAGGAACUAGAUCCCUCAUGCAUGCCGCAACUAAGAGUCGGAAUGCCACAACUAAAGAUCCCGCAUGCUACAACUAAGACCCAGUGCAGCCAAAAUAAACAUUUAAAAA
Molecule: long non-coding RNA, 625 nt
Organism: Hippopotamus amphibius kiboko
Lineage: Eukaryota; Metazoa; Chordata; Mammalia; Artiodactyla; Hippopotamidae
Exons: 3
Source: RefSeq, a predicted model, not a curated record